ACGUAUGGGGCAAGCGUUAUCCGGAUUUACUGGGUGUAAAGGGAGCGUAGGCGGCAUGGCAAGUCAGAAGUGAAAGCCUGGGGCUCAACCCCGGAAUUGCUUUUGAAACUGUCAGGCUAGAGUGUCGGAGGGGUAAGCGGAAUUCCUAGUGUAGCGGUGAAAUGCGUAGAUAUUAGGAGGAACACCGGUGGCGAAGGCGGCUUACUGGACGAUUACUGACGCUGAGGCUCGAAAGCGUGGGGAGCAAACAG
Molecule: ribosomal RNA, 251 nt
Filed under: uncultured bacterium
Lineage: Bacteria
Description: partial 16S ribosomal RNA
Rfam family: Bacterial small subunit ribosomal RNA
Source: RNAcentral